UGGCUCAGAACGAACGCUGGCGGCGUGCUUAACACAUGCAAGUCGAGCGGAAAGGCCCUUCGGGGUACUCGAGCGGCGAACGGGUGAGUAACACGUGAGUAACCUGUCCUUGGCUUUGGGAUAACCCUCGGAAACGGGGGCUAAUACCGGAUAUGACCUUUGCCUGCAUGGGUGGGGGUGGAAAGGAUUCCGGCUAAGGAUGGGCUCGCGGCCUAUCAGCUUGUUGGUGAGGUAACGGCUCACCAAGGCGAGGACGGGUAGCCGGCCUGAGAGGGCGACCGGCCACACUGGGACUGAGACACGGCCCAGAGACCUACGGGAGGCAGCAGUGG
RNAcentral lists this ribosomal RNA (332 nucleotides) under uncultured Micromonosporaceae bacterium. RNAcentral describes it as "bacterial SSU rRNA". It matches the Rfam family "Bacterial small subunit ribosomal RNA", at positions 20 to 357 of the family's 1533-position model. Lineage: Bacteria; Bacillati; Actinomycetota; Actinomycetes; Micromonosporales; Micromonosporaceae. The record is from RNAcentral.